AUCAACUUUCGAUGGUAGGAUAGAGGCCUACCAUGGUGGUAACGGGUAACGGGGUGUUAGGGCACGACACCGGAGAGGGAGCCUGAGAAACGGCUACCACAUCCAAGGAUGGCAGCAGGCGCGCAAAUUACCCAAUCCCGACACGGGGAGGUAGUGACAAUAAAUAACAAUACGGGGUUCUUUCGGAUUUCGUAAUUGGAAUGAGUACAAUUUAAAUCUCUUAACGAGGAACAAUUGGAGGGCAAGUCUGGUGCCAGCAGCCGCGGUAAUUCCAGCUCCAAUAGCGUAUAUUAAAGUUGUUGCAGUUAAAAAGCUCGUAGUUGAAUUUCGGGAUCAUCAGGUUGGUCGUGCCUUCGGUAUGUACUUGCUUCGGUGGUCCCUCCUUCUUGAAGAACCGUAAUGGCAUUAAUUUGUUGUUGCGGGGAAACAGGACUGUUACUUUGAAAAAAUUAGAGUGUUUAAAGCAGGCAAUCGCUUGAAUACAUUAGCAUGGAAUAAUGAAAUAGGACGUUCGAUCCUAUUUUGUUGGUUUCUAGGAUUGACGUAAUGAUUAAUAGGGAUAGUUGGGGGCAUUAGUAUUCAAUUGUCAGAGGUGAAAUUCUUGGAUUUAUUGAAGACUAACUACUGCGAAAGCAUUUGCCAAGGAUGUUUUCAUUAAUCAAGAACGAAAGUUAGGGGAUCGAAGACGAUCAGAUACCGUCGUAGUCUUAACCAUAAACUAUGCCGACUAGGGAUCGGAUGAUGUUAAUUUUUUAAUGACUCAUUCGGCGCCUUACGGGAAACCAAAGUGUUUGGGUUC
RNAcentral lists this ribosomal RNA (799 nucleotides) under uncultured Glomeromycotina. RNAcentral describes it as "SSU rRNA". It matches the Rfam family "Eukaryotic small subunit ribosomal RNA", at positions 314 to 1114 of the family's 1831-position model. Lineage: Eukaryota; Fungi; Glomeromycota. The record is from RNAcentral.